UACGGGGGGGGCAAGCGUUGUUCGGAUUUACUGGGCGUAAAGGGCGCGUAGGCGGCUCAACAAGUCACUUGUGAAAUCCCCGGGCUUAACCUGGGAAUGGCAUUUGGGACUGCAAGGCUCGAGUGCGGCAGAGGAGACUGGAAUUCCUGGUGUAGCAGUGAAAUGCGUAGAUAUCAGGAGGAACACCGAUGGCGAAGGCAGGUCUCUGGGCUGACACUGACGCUCAUGCACGAAAGCGUGGGGAGCAAACAGG
Molecule: ribosomal RNA, 253 nt
Filed under: uncultured bacterium
Lineage: Bacteria
Description: partial 16S ribosomal RNA
Rfam family: Bacterial small subunit ribosomal RNA
Source: RNAcentral